UACAGAGGUGGCGAGCGUUGUUCGGAUUUACUGGGCGUAAAGGGCGCGUAGGCGGCGCCGCGAGUCUCGUGUGAAAUCCCCGGGCCCAACCCGGGAAGUGCGCGAGAUACCGCGGCGCUCGAGUGCGGGAUGGGGGAUCGGAAUGCAGGGUGUAGCGGUGAAAUGCGUUGAUAUCCUGCAGAACACCGGAGGCGAAGGCGGAUCCCUGGAACGCAACUGACGCUGAGGCGCGAAAGCCGGGGGAGCAAAC
RNAcentral lists this ribosomal RNA (250 nucleotides) under uncultured prokaryote. Its description in RNAcentral is "partial 16S ribosomal RNA". It matches the Rfam family "Bacterial small subunit ribosomal RNA", at positions 524 to 773 of the family's 1533-position model. The record is from RNAcentral.